GGUAAUGGAUGGACCAGAGAAUAGUGUCUGCACAUGGCAUAAAUGUGCUUACACUAUUCUUUGGGACUGGAGGAGCGUUGGUGGCUCUCUUAGAAGAUUGAGUCAUGUGCAGAGAUGGCUUGGAUGGCGAACAUUCUGAUAUGUUGUACAAUUAUUUUAGUUUGUAUGAUUAGUUUGUAAAUAUAUUGUAGGUGUAAGAAAUAUAAUUUGGUCAUUACUACAAUUUUUCGAAAAGUUUGCAUGUUAAAAAAGUGACAUGAAAACUACACCGGUCAACUUAAUGCUACAAUUAUGGAACAAGACAACAAAGAUACACUAAUAAAG
This 324-nucleotide long non-coding RNA is filed under the name Setaria viridis. Its description in RNAcentral is "long non-coding RNA (SVIR_LNC006580)". The record is from RNAcentral. Lineage: Eukaryota; Viridiplantae; Streptophyta; Magnoliopsida; Poales; Poaceae.